GGUUAAGCGACUAAGCGUACACGGUGGAUGCCCUGGCAGUCAGAGGCGAUGAAGGACGUGCUAAUCUGCGAUAAGCGUCGGUAAGGUGAUAUGAACCGUUAUAACCGGCGAUUUCCGAAUGGGGAAACCCAGUGUGUUUCGACACACUAUCAUUAACUGAAUCCAUAGGUUAAUGAGGCGAACCGGGGGAACUGAAACAUCUAAGUACCCCGAGGAAAAGAAAUCAACCGAGAUUCCCCCAGUAGCGGCGAGCGAACGGGGAGGAGCCCAGAGCCUGAAUCAGUGUGUGUGUUAGUGGAAGCGUCUGGAAAGGCGCGCGAUACAGGGUGACAGCCCCGUACACAAAAAUGCACAUGCUGUGAGCUCGAUGAGUAGGGCGGGACACGUGGUAUCCUGUCUGAAUAUGGGGGGACCAUCCUCCAAGGCUAAAUACUCCUGACUGACCGAUAGUGAACCAGUACCGUGAGGGAAAGGCGAAAAGAACCCCGGCGAGGGGAGUGAAAAAGAACCUGAAACCGUGUACGUACAAGCAGUGGGAGCCUCUUUUAUGGGGUGACUGCGUACCUUUUGUAUAAUGGGUCAGCGACUUAUAUUCUGUAGCAAGGUUAACCGAAUAGGGGAGCCGAAGGGAAACCGAGUCUUAACUGGGCGUUAAGUUGCAGGGUAUAGACCCGAAACCCGGUGAUCUAGCCAUGGGCAGGUUGAAGGUUGGGUAACACUAACUGGAGGACCGAACCGACUAAUGUUGAAAAAUUAGCGGAUGACUUGUGGCUGGGGGUGAAAGGCCAAUCAAACCGGGAGAUAGCUGGUUCUCCCCGAAAGCUAUUUAGGUAGCGCCUCGUGAAUUCAUCUCCGGGGGUAGAGCACUGUUUCGGCAAGGGGGUCAUCCCGACUUACCAACCCGAUGCAAACUGCGAAUACCGGAGAAUGUUAUCACGGGAGACACACGGCGGGUGCUAACGUCCGUCGUGAAGAGGGAAACAACCCAGACCGCCAGCUAAGGUCCCAAAGUCAUGGUUAAGUGGGAAACGAUGUGGGAAGGCCCAGACAGCCAGGAUGUUGGCUUAGAAGCAGCCAUCAUUUAAAGAAAGCGUAAUAGCUCACUGGUCGAGUCGGCCUGCGCGGAAGAUGUAACGGGGCUAAACCAUGCACCGAAGCUGCGGCAGCGACGCUUAUGCGUUGUUGGGUAGGGGAGCGUUCUGUAAGCCUGCGAAGGUGUACUGUGAGGUAUGCUGGAGGUAUCAGAAGUGCGAAUGCUGACAUAAGUAACGAUAAAGCGGGUGAAAAGCCCGCUCGCCGGAAGACCAAGGGUUCCUGUCCAACGUUAAUCGGGGCAGGGUGAGUCGACCCCUAAGGCGAGGCCGAAAGGCGUAGUCGAUGGGAAACAGGUUAAUAUUCCUGUACUUGGUGUUACUGCGAAGGGGGGACGGAGAAGGCUAUGUUGGCCGGGCGACGGUUGUCCCGGUUUAAGCGUGUAGGCUGGUUUUCCAGGCAAAUCCGGAAAAUCAAGGCUGAGGCGUGAUGACGAGGCACUACGGUGCUGAAGCAACAAAUGCCCUGCUUCCAGGAAAAGCCUCUAAGCAUCAGGUAACAUCAAAUCGUACCCCAAACCGACACAGGUGGUCAGGUAGAGAAUACCAAGGCGCUUGAGAGAACUCGGGUGAAGGAACUAGGCAAAAUGGUGCCGUAACUUCGGGAGAAGGCACGCUGAUAUGUAGGUGAAGUCCCUCGCGGAUGGAGCUGAAAUCAGUCGAAGAUACCAGCUGGCUGCAACUGUUUAUUAAAAACACAGCACUGUGCAAACACGAAAGUGGACGUAUACGGUGUGACGCCUGCCCGGUGCCGGAAGGUUAAUUGAUGGGGUUAGCGCAAGCGAAGCUCUUGAUCGAAGCCCCGGUAAACGGCGGCCGUAACUAUAACGGUCCUAAGGUAGCGAAAUUCCUUGUCGGGUAAGUUCCGACCUGCACGAAUGGCGUAAUGAUGGCCAGGCUGUCUCCACCCGAGACUCAGUGAAAUUGAACUCGCUGUGAAGAUGCAGUGUACCCGCGGCAAGACGGAAAGACCCCGUGAACCUUUACUAUAGCUUGACACUGAACAUUGAGCCUUGAUGUGUAGGAUAGGUGGGAGGCUUGGAAGUGUGGACGCCAGUCUGCAUGGAGCCGACCUUGAAAUACCACCCUUUAAUGUUUGAUGUUCUAACGUUGACCCGUAAUCCGGGUUGCGGACAGUGUCUGGUGGGUAGUUUGACUGGGGCGGUCUCCUCCUAAAGAGUAACGGAGGAGCACGAAGGUUGGCUAAUCCUGGUCGGACAUCAGGAGGUUAGUGCAAUGGCAUAAGCCAGCUUGACUGCGAGCGUGACGGCGCGAGCAGGUGCGAAAGCAGGUCAUAGUGAUCCGGUGGUUCUGAAUGGAAGGGCCAUCGCUCAACGGAUAAAAGGUACUCCGGGGAUAACAGGCUGAUACCGCCCAAGAGUUCAUAUCGACGGCGGUGUUUGGCACCUCGAUGUCGGCUCAUCACAUCCUGGGGCUGAAGUAGGUCCCAAGGGUAUGGCUGUUCGCCAUUUAAAGUGGUACGCGAGCUGGGUUUAGAACGUCGUGAGACAGUUCGGUCCCUAUCUGCCGUGGGCGCUGGAGAACUGAGGGGGGCUGCUCCUAGUACGAGAGGACCGGAGUGGACGCAUCACUGGUGUUCGGGUUGUCAUGCCAAUGGCACUGCCCGGUAGCUAAAUGCGGAAGAGAUAAGUGCUGAAAGCAUCUAAGCACGAAACUUGCCCCGAGAUGAGUUCUCCCUGACUCCUUGAGAGUCCUGAAGGAACGUUGAAGACGACGACGUUGAUAGGCCGGGUGUGUAAGCGCAGCGAUGCGUUGAGCUAACCGGUACUAAUGAACCGUGAGGCUUAACCUU
This 2904-nucleotide ribosomal RNA is filed under the name Escherichia coli. RNAcentral describes it as "23S ribosomal RNA". It matches the Rfam family "Bacterial large subunit ribosomal RNA". Lineage: Bacteria; Pseudomonadati; Pseudomonadota; Gammaproteobacteria; Enterobacterales; Enterobacteriaceae. The record is from RNAcentral.